UACAGAGGGUGCGAGCGUUGUCCGGAAUCACUGGGCGUAAAGGGCGCGUAGGUGGUGGCUUAAGCGUGCGGUGAAAGCUCGGGGCUCAACCCCGAGUCGGCCGUGCGAACUGGGCUCACUGGAGCAUAGUAGAGGCAGGCGGAAUUCCGGGUGUAGCGGUGGAAUGCGUAGAGAUCCGGAAGAACACCGGUGGCGAAGGCGGCCUGCUGGGCUAUGGCUGACACUGAGGCGCGACAGCGUGGGGAGCAAACAGG
This 254-nucleotide ribosomal RNA is filed under the name uncultured bacterium. RNAcentral's name for it is "partial 16S ribosomal RNA". It matches the Rfam family "Bacterial small subunit ribosomal RNA", at positions 524 to 776 of the family's 1533-position model. The record is from RNAcentral.